CCUACGGGGUGCAGCAGUGGGGAAUAUUGGACAAUGGGCGAAAGCCUGAUCCAGCCAUGCCGCGUGUGUGAAGAAGGCCUUCGGGUUGUAAAGCACUUUCAGUGGGGAAGAAAGCCUUGGGGCUAAUACCCUCGAGGAAGGACAUCACCCACAGAAGAAGCACCGGCUAACUCCGUGCCAGCAGCCGCGGUAAUACGGAGGGUGCGAGCGUUAAUCGGAAUUACUGGGCGUAAAGCGCGCGUAGGCGGUCUGAUAAGCCGGUUGUGAAAGCCCCGGGCUCAACCUGGGAACGGCAUCCGGAACUGUCAGGCUAGAGUGCAGGAGAGGAAGGUAGAAUUCCCGGUGUAGCGGUGAAAUGCGUAGAGAUCGGGAGGAAUACCAGUGGCGAAGGCGGCCUUCUGGACUGACACUGACGCUGAGGUGCGAAAGCGUGGGUAGCAAUCAGGAUUAGAUACCCGAGUAGUC
This 465-nucleotide ribosomal RNA is filed under the name Vreelandella stevensii. RNAcentral describes it as "partial 16S ribosomal RNA". It matches the Rfam family "Bacterial small subunit ribosomal RNA", at positions 338 to 795 of the family's 1533-position model. The record is from RNAcentral. Lineage: Bacteria; Pseudomonadati; Pseudomonadota; Gammaproteobacteria; Oceanospirillales; Halomonadaceae.